GGUGUAAAGCGUGGCAGUGAGACGGCGGGGGAUAAGCUCCGUACGUCGAAAGGGAAACAGCCCAGAUCGCCGGCUAAGGCCCCCAAGCGUGUGCUAAGUGGGAAAGGAUGUGCAGUCGCAAAGACAACCAGGAGGUUGGCUUAGAAGCAGCCACCCUUGAAAGAGUGCGUAAUAGCUCACUGGUCAAGUGAUUGUGCGCCGAUAAUGUAGCGGGGCUCAAGCACACCGCCGAAGCCGCGGCACAUCCACCUUGUGGUGGGUGUGGGUAGGGGAGCGUCCCUCAUUCAGCGAAGCCACCGGGUGACCGGUGGUGGAGGGCGGGGGAGUGAGAAUGCAGGCAUGAGUAGCGACAAGGCAAGUGAGAACCUUGCCCGCCGAAAGACCAAGGGUUCCUGGGCCAGGCCAGUCCGCCCAGGGUGAGUCGGGACCUAAGGCGAGGCCGACAGGCGUAGUCGAUGGACAACGGGUUGAUAUUCCCGUACCCGUGUGUGGGCGCCCGUGACGAAUCAGCGGUACUAACCACCCAAAACCGGAUCGAUCACUCCCCUUCGGGGGUGUGGAGUUCUGGGGCUGCGUGGGAACUUCGCUGGUAGUAGUCAAGCGAAGGGGUGACGCAGGAAGGUAGCCGUACCAGUCAGUGGUAACACUGGGGCAAGCCGGUAGGGAGAGCGAUAGGCAAAUCCGUCGCUCACUAAUCCUGAGAGGUGACGCAUAGCCGGUUGAGGCGAAUUCGGUGAUCCUCUGCUGCCAAGAAAAGCCUCUAGCGAGCACACACACGGCCCGUACCCCAAACCGACACAGGUGGUCAGGUAGAGCAUACCAAGGCGUACGAGAUAACUAUGGUUAAGGAACUCGGCAAAAUGCCCCCGUAACUUCGGGAGAAGGGGGACCGGAAUAUCGUGAACACCCUUGCGGUGGGAGCGGGAUCCGGUCGCAGAAACCAGUGAGGAGCGACUGUUUACUAAAAACACAGGUCCGUGCGAAGUCGCAAGACGAUGUAUACGGACUGACGCCUGCCCGGUGCUGGAAGGUUAAGAGGACCCGUUAACCCGCAAGGGUGAAGCGGAGAAUUUAAGCCCCAGUAAACGGCGGUGGUAACUAUAACCAUCCUAAGGUAGCGAAAUUCCUUGUCGGGUAAGUUCCGACCUGCACGAAUGGCGUAACGACUUCUCAACUGUCUCAACCAUAGACUCGGCGAAAUUGCACUACGAGUAAAGAUGCUCGUUACGCGCGGCAGGACGAAAAGACCCCGGGACCUUCACUACAACUUGGUAUUGAUGUUCGGUACGGUUUGUGUAGGAUAGGUGGGAGACGUUGAUGCGGCCACGCUAGUGGUGGUGGAGUCGUUGGUGAAAUACCACUCUGAUUGUUCUGGUUAUCUCACUGUGGACCGUGAUCCGGUUCAAGGACAGUGCCUGAUGGGUAGUUUGACUGGGGCGGUCGCCUCCUAAAGGGUAACGGAGGCGCCCAAAGGUUCCCUCAUCCUGGUUGGUAAUCAGGUGGUGAGUGUAAGUGCACAAGGGGGCUUGACUGUGAGACUGACAGGUCGAGCAGGGACGAAAGUCGGGACUAGUGAUCCGGCACCUACUUGAGGAUGUGGUGUCGCUCAACGGAUAAAAGGUACCCCGGGGAUAACAGGCUGAUCUUCCCCAAGAGUCCAUAUCGACGGGAUGGUUUGGCACCUCGAUGUCGGCUCGUCGCAUCCUGGGGCUGGAGCAGGUCCCAAGGGUUGGGCUGUUCGCCCAUUAAAGCGGCACGCGAGCUGGGUUUAGAACGUCGUGAGACAGUUCGGUCUCUAUCCGCCGCGCGCGUCAGAAACUUGAGGAAACCUGUCCCUAGUACGAGAGGACCGGGACGGACGAACCUCUGGUGCACCAGUUGUCCCGCCAGGGGCACCGCUGGAUAGCCACGUUCGGUCAGGAUAACCGCUGAAAGCAUCUAAGCGGGAAACCUUCUCCAAGAUCAGGUUUCUCACCCACUUGGUGGGAUAAGGCCCCCCGCAGAACACGGGUUCAAUAGGUCAGACCUGGAAGCUCAGUAAUGGGUGUAGGGAACUGGUGCUAACCGGCCGAAAACUUACAACACCC
This 2087-nucleotide ribosomal RNA is filed under the name Mycobacterium tuberculosis. Its description in RNAcentral is "partial 23S ribosomal RNA". It matches the Rfam family "Bacterial large subunit ribosomal RNA", at positions 967 to 2925 of the family's 2925-position model. Lineage: Bacteria; Bacillati; Actinomycetota; Actinomycetes; Mycobacteriales; Mycobacteriaceae. The record is from RNAcentral.